GUGGUUUGUCGCGUUGUUCGUGAAAUCUCACAACUCAAUUGUGAGCGUGCGGGCGAUACGGGCAGACUGGAGUACUGCAGGGGAGACUGGAAUUCCUGGUGUAGCGGUGGAAUGCGCAGAUAUCAGGAGGAACACCGGUGGCGAAGGCGGGUCUCUGGGCAGUAACUGACGCUGAGGAGCGAAAGCGUGGGGAGCGAACAGGAUUAGAUACCCUGGUAGUCCACGCCGUAAACGGUGGGUACUAGGUGUGGGUUUCCUUCCUUGGGAUCCGUGCCGUAGCUAACGCAUUAAGUACCCCGCCUGGGGAGUACGGCCGCAAGGCUAAAACUCAAAGAAAUUGACGGGGGCCCGCACAAGCGGCGGAGCAUGUGGAUUAAUUCGAUGCAACGCGAAGAACCUUACCUGGGUUUGACAUGCACAGGACGUGCCUAGAGAUAGGUAUUCCCUUGUGGCCUGUGUGCAGGUGGUGCAUGGCUGUCGUCAGCUCGUGUCGUGAGAUGUUGGGUUAAGUCCCGCAACGAGCGCAACCCUUGUCUCAUGUUGCCAGCGGGUAAUGCCGGGGACUCGUGAGGGACUGCCGGGGUCAACUCGGAGGAAGGUGGGGAUGACGUCAAGUCAUCAUGCCCCUUAUGUCCAGGGCUUCACACAUGCUACAAUGGCCGGUACAAAGGGCUGCGAAGCCGUGAGGUGGAGCGAAUCCUUUAAAGCCGGUCUCAGUUCGGAUCGGGGUCUGCAACUCGACCCCGUGAAGUUGGAGUCGCUAGUAAU
Molecule: ribosomal RNA, 768 nt
Filed under: uncultured bacterium
Lineage: Bacteria
Description: bacterial SSU rRNA
Rfam family: Bacterial small subunit ribosomal RNA
Source: RNAcentral